Non-coding RNA from Equus caballus (horse), 777 nucleotides. The record is from RefSeq and is a predicted model, not a curated record. Lineage: Eukaryota; Metazoa; Chordata; Mammalia; Perissodactyla; Equidae.
CAGGUACAUGGGCCGUGUCUUCUUUUGCUUCUGCUCGGCGGCCGGCUCCUCCUCGCUCUCCGAGGACGACGCUGUGGGGCCACCGGGAGACACCUGCCAUCAGACACCACCCCCUGCAUUCCCCAGGCCGAGAAUCCCACUGGGCUGGGCCAGAUCGAGGUUUCAAAGCCCCAAGCCACCAGUCCCGGCUGUGUAGCAGGUAUCCCCCAGGCGGUGACAAUUCGAGCAUCGCCGACCCGCGACCCCCGGGCCCACACCACCGACAUCCUGGACGCUCGACUCCCCACUGCAGACUCAAAAAUCACAAGGCGCCGGCGCUGUGGUCAGGCACAAGUCUUAAUUUAAUGGGUAAAAACAUUAAAUUAUCACACACAACAAUUUUUUCCAUAAAGCUUAAUAAAUAGAAUCUUUUCUUUUUUUUAACGCUGUACAAGAGACUGGAAAACAAGCUUCCAACAAAAUAGGAAUGAACUCAUACUACCCUUUUAUUGAUUUGGAAUACCCCCCUCCCCCGAUGCCCGAAAGCAGUGUGCACACUUGAGGUCUCUCUCUGGGUGCAGCCGGCCAAGGUCGCCAGGUUCCAGGAGCCCUGGAAGCGAUGACCUCACUCGGGCUGGGCUUUUAAACGCUCUGCCCUUGGGCCUCGUCUGCGGCCCCAGCAGCCCGGGGCGUGGAGGAAACUGAACCGUUUACGUUGUUGCUGCCUGCAGGAGCCCUUCUCUGCUCGAUACACCAAAAGGGGUGAGAAAAAGAAAUGAGAAAUGGCCCUCGAACACA